Molecule: ribosomal RNA, 490 nt
Filed under: uncultured bacterium
Lineage: Bacteria
Description: partial 16S ribosomal RNA
Rfam family: Bacterial small subunit ribosomal RNA
Source: RNAcentral
AGUGAACGCUGGCGGCAGGCCUAACACAUGCAAGUCGAACGGCAGCACAAGAGAGCUUGCUCUCUGGGUGGCGAGUGGCGGACGGGUGAGGAAUGCAUCGGAAUCUGCCCAUUUGUGGGGGAUAACCUCGGGAAACCGGGACUAAUACCGCAUACGACCUACGGGUGAAAGCAGGGGAUCUUCGGACCUUGCGCAGAUGGAUGAGCCGAUGCCGGAUUAGCUAGUUGGAGGGGUAAAGGCCCACCAAGGCGACGAUCCGUAGCUGGUCUGAGAGGAUGAUCAGCCACACUGGGACUGAGGCACGGCCCAGACCCCUACGGGAGGCAGCAGUGGGGAAUAUUGGACAAUGGGCGCAAGCCUGAUCCAGCCAUGCCGCGUGUGUGAAGAAGGCCUUCGGGUUGUAAAGCACUUUUGUUGGGAAAGAAAAGCAGCCGGUUAAUACCCGGUUGUCAUGACGGUACCCAAAGAAUAAGCACCGGCUAACUUCGUG